Molecule: ribosomal RNA, 755 nt
Filed under: uncultured Actinomycetes bacterium
Lineage: Bacteria; Bacillati; Actinomycetota; Actinomycetes
Description: bacterial SSU rRNA
Rfam family: Bacterial small subunit ribosomal RNA
Source: RNAcentral
UGCAGUCGAACGAUGAAGCUGGAGCUUGCUCCGGCCGAUUAGUGGCGAACGGGUGAGUAACACGUGAGCAAUCUGCCCUUGACUCUGGGAUAACUGCGGGAAACUGUAGCUAAUACCGGAUACUUUCCUCGCUGGGCAUCCAGCGGGGAAGAAAGAAUUUCGGUCAAGGAUGAGCUCGCGGCCUAUCAGCUAGUUGGUGAGGUAAAGGCUCACCAAGGCGACGACGGGUAGCCGGCCUGAGAGGGUGACCGGCCACACUGGAACUGAGACACGGUCCAGACUCCUACGGGAGGCAGCAGUGGGGAAUAUUGCACAAUGGGCGAAAGCCUGAUGCAGCAACGCCGCGUGAGGGAUGAAGGCCUUCGGGUUGUAAACCUCUUUUAGCAGGGAAGAAGCGAAAGUGACGGUACCUGCAGAAAAAGCACCGGCUAACUACGUGCCAGCAGCCGCGGUGAUACGUAGGGUGCAAGCGUUGUCCGGAAUUAUUGGGCGUAAAGAGCUCGUAGGCGGUUUGUCACGUCUGCUGUGAAAAUCCGAGGCUCAACCUCGGACUUGCAGUGGGUACGGGCAGGCUAGAGUGCGGUAGGGGAGAAGGGAAUUCCUGGUGUAGCGGUGGAAUGCGCAGAUAUCAGGAGGAACACCAAUGGCGAAGGCACUUCUCUGGGCCGUAACUGACGCUGAGGAGCGAAAGCGUGGGGAGCGAACAGGAUUAGAUACCCUGGUAGUCCACGCCGUAAACGGUGGGUGCUAGCUGU